GUAAUUCCUGAACCACAUUUGGUCCUUGAGAGACGACCUAGGAGUCACUUCCUAGUCUAUACUGCAUUCUUUUAUGCACAUUAAAUUUUGUAUGGGGUGCGACACUCAUAAUUUUCCUCACUAGAAAUGAAACGAAAGUAAAAGAGGCAAAAUACAAGCCCAUGAAACCUACACUAUUCUUUUUUAUUCUUUUUGUCACUCUAAAAGCUCUUCAA
This 215-nucleotide long non-coding RNA is filed under the name Vigna radiata. RNAcentral describes it as "long non-coding RNA (VRAD_LNC013045)". Lineage: Eukaryota; Viridiplantae; Streptophyta; Magnoliopsida; Fabales; Fabaceae. The record is from RNAcentral.